This 60-nucleotide non-coding RNA is filed under the name Sus scrofa (pig). Lineage: Eukaryota; Metazoa; Chordata; Mammalia; Artiodactyla; Suidae. The record is from RNAcentral.
ACCAUCGGAGGACGCGGUAGCUCAUCCGUUGAGCUGACCACCGUCGGUUCUCUGGUGUCC